This 281-nucleotide unclassified non-coding RNA is filed under the name Bracteacoccus bullatus. Its description in RNAcentral is "partial internal transcribed spacer 2". The record is from RNAcentral. Lineage: Eukaryota; Viridiplantae; Chlorophyta; Chlorophyceae; Sphaeropleales; Bracteacoccaceae.
UAAACCCAUCGCUUCCCUCCCCUGUUAAACCAGGGGGGUCGGCCCAUCACUUGCUGGUGGGCUUGGAAGCGGAGCUGGCUUUCCCACGCUUCGUGCGUGGGUUGGCUGAAAAGCAGAGGCUAGAGCUAGGACCCAUCAUGGGCUCAACUGGAUAGGUAGACCUGGCGCCUAACGGCACCUCCUACACGAAGUUGUGGCUUGUGGUCCUCGGCUGGCGGCCUGCAGGAAAUGAGCGUGUGUGCGUGUUGGAGCUUCUGCUUCCACCGCCUCCGCCAUCUACC